RNAcentral lists this long non-coding RNA (1302 nucleotides) under Lonchura striata (white-rumped munia). Its description in RNAcentral is "domestica (Bengalese finch) lncRNA (ENSLSDG00000015458.1)". The record is from RNAcentral. Lineage: Eukaryota; Metazoa; Chordata; Aves; Passeriformes; Estrildidae.
UUCUGAAAAUGCAGGUUAGCUCAGAAAUCUGUUUGGCAGAAAGAUGUUUGGCCUUGCUUCUGUUUCCUGGGGCACUCCUGGGCACUCUGCUUUAGCUGGACACUUUCCUGACUCACCAUCACCACCCUCACCCAGCAGUUCUCAUGAGAGCAAUCUGUAAUCCUUUGGUGUCCCAGGUGGUGGUACAUUCCAGACUACCCUCUGAUAUUGGUAACUGCUUGUCCAAAGAUUCAUGUCUCUAGAAGGAAUAGCUGCAAAAAGAAAGCAAGAUGCACAAUUCCAUGAUGGAAAGAGAAAUAUUUUCAAUAAAGGUUUUGGAAAAGUCAUCACUCAUGUUGGAAGAGAAAAUAAGCUCUUUCCAGAACUCCUCCACCUCUGGCAUUUAAAGAAAGCACUUGGUGCUGACUGUCCAGACAUUCCCCAUAUCUUCUGCCUCAUACAGCACCAAAACCAGCAAAACGAGUGCCUGACAAAGAAGACCACCGAAUCCCUGCGAGUGAGGGAAAUGUUUCUCUUGCUUUAGUGUAUAAGGGAGGAAGGGAAUGUAGCAUGUAACUCCACAGAGGGAAACACAGCAAUGGAUGGUCUUAUCUGUGAGAAAUCCUGACCUCCCAAUUUCCAGUGUACUAUGAAUACUCAGAGAAAAAAAAAAUAAUUUCUGCCUGUUAUCCUAAGUGAUUUUCGCUGAUAUAACUUCUGCAUGUGAAAUGUCAUUGCAGCAGUAUUAAGUUAUAAUUAGAAUAAUUUAAACAUAUAGUGUUUUGAAAAUCAACACUUUCAUGGUAGAACAAAGGCGAUGAUAUCUAUUACCUCUAUAGUAAACAAAGUGAUUUAUAAUGUAAAGUGCAAAAAUGAAGGACAGAAUGUGAGCUUUAAACUUACACAGCAGAGCGGUUUUUCUGACAUGAGAAACUCCAACAAGAAAACAAAAAUACUGGUACCGUGGCAACACCUGAUAAAAGAUUUUAUCUAGAUCUUUCUGUAGUACUCUUCCACUGUAAAGAUCCAAAAUUAAAUGAAGACAAAUGAAGUUCUUUCUCUAAUAUUGUCAUCAUAUAGUGAAAAUGUACUGAUCUGCCUUUUAAUUUUCCCCCCUUCAUUUCUUGGAAAUAGACCUUCUCUGUAGAAUAACAGUCUCUGUUAAAUACCUAUUCAUUCAUUGAUCCUAAAACUAUCUGAUAUAGGGCCGAUAUGGCAGCAAAGCUCUUCACACUUUUUUUUUUUGCUUGCUUCAUCUCUUCACAUUCACAGUUAACAGGCUUGCUCUGUAUAAAAAGAAUAAACACAGUAAUUGGUAUGCCA